RNAcentral lists this ribosomal RNA (492 nucleotides) under uncultured bacterium. Its description in RNAcentral is "partial 16S ribosomal RNA". It matches the Rfam family "Bacterial small subunit ribosomal RNA", at positions 29 to 507 of the family's 1533-position model. The record is from RNAcentral.
AGUGAACGCUGGCGGUAGGCCUAACACAUGCAAGUCGAACGGAAGCACAGUAAGAGCUUGCCCUUACGGGUGGCGAGUGGCGGACGGGUGAGGAAUACAUCGGCAUCUACUUUUUCGGGGGGGAUAACGGGGGGACGCUGACGCUAACACCGAAUACGACCUACGGCAGAAAGCAGGGGUGCUUGGGGCUUUGGGCGACUGAAUGAGCCGGUGCUGGAUUAGCUAGUUGGCGGGGUAAAGGCACACCAAGGCAACGAUCCGUAGCAGAUCUGAGAGGAUGAUCGGCCACACUGGAACUGAGACACGGUCCAGACUCCUACGGGAGGCAGCAGUGGGGAAUAUUGGACAAUGGGCGCAAGCCUGACCCAGCGAUACCGCGUGGGUGAUGAAGGCCUUCGGGUUGUAAAGCUCUUUUAUUAGGAAAGAAAAGCUGCAGGUUAAUACGCCGCUAUUCUGACGGUACCCAAACAGAAAGCACCGGCUAACUUCGUG